This 375-nucleotide ribosomal RNA is filed under the name Triticum aestivum (bread wheat). RNAcentral's name for it is "partial small subunit ribosomal RNA". Lineage: Eukaryota; Viridiplantae; Streptophyta; Magnoliopsida; Poales; Poaceae. The record is from RNAcentral.
AUGGCGACUCCACGCAUCUCUUGCGCCCCGCAACCCUCUCCUUCCCGGCACAACAGGAGUAGGAGCAAGGAUGCCGAGGCGGUUCAGUCGCGAGGAAGAGUAGGAAGAUCAGGCAGAGAGGGUUUCACACACCUCUUCUACACUGACAAGUCUUUGCAUUCCAGGAUUGCCAUGGGAGCUUUGGAUGGUGGUCUUGAUCUUCCGCACAGUGACAGGAGAUUUGCUGGCUUCAAGAAGGAUAAGAAGCAGUUGGGCGCUGAGAUUCACCUCAAAUACAUCUAUGAAGGUCAUGUUGCUGACUACAUGAAGUCAAUAGCUGAUGAGGAACCUAAGAAGUACCAAUCUCACUUCAGUGAGUACAUCAAGAAGAACUGA